This 28-nucleotide non-coding RNA is filed under the name Mus musculus (house mouse). Lineage: Eukaryota; Metazoa; Chordata; Mammalia; Rodentia; Muridae. The record is from RNAcentral.
UGUCAGAACUGUGCUGAGAAAGACUGAU